Molecule: long non-coding RNA, 447 nt
Organism: Amphimedon queenslandica
Lineage: Eukaryota; Metazoa; Porifera; Demospongiae; Haplosclerida; Niphatidae
Exons: 4
Source: RefSeq, a predicted model, not a curated record
UACAUUUUUCAAAUUCCACGCAGCUGCUUCCACUUCCGUCCCAAACUGAACUGGGAUAUAGUAUACCUCAGUAUCAUUAUGUGAUUAUCUUGUGGUUGUUACUUAUUGUUAAGGUGAGGGUAAGGACAGCAGUCCAGAGUACAGCUAAUCCUGAUGUUACUUAUGUGUACAGUCCAUACAGUAGGUGGGCCUCAGUCAGUGGCGUUAUAAUAGAAGUUCCUUCUGGAGCACCAACAAUAAUACCAGUUGAUGAUAAUAAUGACAGGACACUUGAGAUUGUUCUUCCAACAGUUGUUGGGGCCAUUGUUGUUGCAGUAUUUAUUUUAUCGAUUGUAAUAUUAUUAUAUAAAAUAAAGUAAGGAGAGAGGAGGGAAUGAUGUUUGGAGAGAGAAGGGGUUGAAUAAAAUGAGAGAAAUGAGCUUAUUAUUGACAUGGAGAGACAAGAGG